UUUGUUAGUUGACGAUGCAAUCAGCAUGCUGAUUAAGGUUGCUUGGUUUUUUACUAAACAUUAACUGAAUGAAAACGGGUAGUCCUUGUUCUGCUUGGGGGGCUUUAAGGAAGCAAAUGGACUUUCAGAACAGAGAUUGUCAAUAAAGAUCCAAUGUGAUAAUUUAUGUGAAAUCUUUCUGCAAACUAUACAGUAUGAUAAAAAUAUAAGGUAGUUUCACUGGAAACAACAGAAGACUAGAAGCUGAUGUGACGUGGCAAUAUCAACCAGGAAUACCCAUCUCGAGUUCUGGAUAUGUGCUCUGAGAAGGUGCCCAUGUCACCGACCACACUGGAGGCCAAUGCAGAUACUGGGGGAAGGUUCCAUGGUAGCUAAGUGUGGACAAGCUAAUCACUGAAGUUCCCUGAUGCAGAGUUGAUAAUCUCUCUAGAGUUGGAUGAAAGACUGUGCUGCCUUGAAGCUCUGAGAGAUGCCAUGCCAAUUCAAGGCAGGGUCUUUAUUGUUGAAACUCUUGCGUAAUGACAUCUUUAUUCAGGUGAAAAUACAGGAUGAAUUUCAACUAUAUGAUAUUGUUUAUGUUCCUCAGACAUGUUAUUUGUCUUUACAAAGAUUGGUUUCAAUAAACUGUGUGACUGAUAUUAAAUAAACAUGGAAUUUUACACAUUCAUAAUAAAAAAAAAA
Molecule: long non-coding RNA, 681 nt
Filed under: Homo sapiens (human)
Lineage: Eukaryota; Metazoa; Chordata; Mammalia; Primates; Hominidae
Description: TMEM161B divergent transcript, transcript variant 5 (TMEM161B-DT)
Source: RNAcentral